CCUACGGGGUGCUGCAGUGGGGAAUAUUGGACAAUGGGCGAAAGCCUGAUCCAGCCAUGCCGCGUGUGUGAAGAAGGCCUUCGGGUUGUAAAGCACUUUCAGUGGGGAAGAAAGCCUUGGGGCUAAUACCCUCGAGGAAGGACAUCACCCACAGAAGAAGCACCGGCUAACUCCGUGCCAGCAGCCGCGGUAAUACGGAGGGUGCGAGCGUUAAUCGGAAUUACUGGGCGUAAAGCGCGCGUAGGCGGUCUGAUAAGCCGGUUGUGAAAGCCCCGGGCUCAACCUGGGAACGGCAUCCGGAACUGUCAGGCUAGAGUGCAGGAGAGGAAGGUAGAAUUCCCGGAGUAGCGGUGAAAUGCGUAGAGAUCGGGAGGAAUACCAGUGGCGAAGGCGGCCUUCUGGACUGACACUGACGCUGAGGUGCGAAAGCGUGGGUAGCAAACAGGAUUAGAUACCCCUGUAGUC
This 465-nucleotide ribosomal RNA is filed under the name Vreelandella stevensii. Its description in RNAcentral is "partial 16S ribosomal RNA". It matches the Rfam family "Bacterial small subunit ribosomal RNA", at positions 338 to 795 of the family's 1533-position model. The record is from RNAcentral. Lineage: Bacteria; Pseudomonadati; Pseudomonadota; Gammaproteobacteria; Oceanospirillales; Halomonadaceae.